CGUUGUGAGAGAGCAAUCAGCUGACACGUUUCUACGACAAAAAUCCAAAUGCCGUGGAAAUCUACUAGCGGAAACAGCCAAAAACGCUACUCCCUUCCUUCCUUUGCCUUCCUUAGGGAGCAAAAUUUGUUAAAAGUUGAGCACAUAGGAAAAACGUAGAAAUCAGCUGUUCUCUUUUGUUUACAUUUCAUAUAAUUCAAAAAAUUGUGUCAGGAGCAAUAUGGAAGUGGACAAUAGCAGUGAAAUGUUUUUAAGUUUGUGCGAAUUUUUAUAUGUAUAUACUUUAUAUAAAAACAAAAAAGGAAAGAGAAGGUACCAAAUUGGCCCAAUCAAUAAAAACUGGAGCUUUUGCGGUUACCAGUUAAAAACUUUUCUGGUAAUGAAAAACAACGAACCAGAACAACUUUUUUUGCAUACAAGGAUGCCGCCGGCCAUCUAUAAUUUGCUUCCCAAUUUAGUAUGGAAAUCCGUGAAGAAGCCAAGGCAGCGGAUUAGACCCGAGGAAAGGCUCUCGUUGGUAUUACUGCGUGUCGGUGCAGAGCAUUGCAUGGAGCUAUAAGUUAGGAAAGUCAACACGCGAAAUCAUAUUAGAGUCGUGUGAUGUAAUCUGGCAGCUACUUUCCCCAAUUUAUGUAAGCGAGCUAACAGAGUCUCAAUACGAGGACAUUGAAAAAGAUUUUUAUAAUAUGUGGAACAUUCCGAAUUGUGUCGGUGCAAUUGAUGGUAAGCACGUUGCUAUUAAGUGCCCGGCCAAUUCCAAUUCGAUGUUCUACAAUUAUGAAAAAUUAUUUAUCAUCAUUUUUAUGGCUGUAUGUGAUACGAAAUAUACGUUCACAGCAGUUAGUAUUGGCAGCUAUGGAAGUCAAAGUGACGGAGGAAUCUUUCGAUUUACUCCAUUUCGUCAUGCAUUAAUACAAAACACUCUGACUUUGCCACCACAUGUGCCACUGUCUGACGUGUCACCCGAAUCAUUUCCUUACUUUUUCGUUGGAGAUGCUGCAUUCCCAUUACGAAGUAAUUUAAUGUGCCCGUUUCCCGGAGCUAAUCUAACACACACGAAACGCCUUUUCAAUUAUCGAUUGUCACGCGUUCGUAUAGUCAUAGAAAAUUCCUUUGGUAUAUUGACUGCCCGAUGGAGAAUUUUGAAAACAACGAUUGAAUGUAAUCCAGAAAAUUGUGAAAAAAUUGUGUUGGCUUACUUGUAGUUCGAGUGGAAGGACAUAACAUUGUUUAUGCCGGUGAGUGGCGCAGCGAAAAUUAAAACAACUCUUUACGACCAAUGCGAACUUAGGUACGUAGAGGUCCUUCAAAUGCGUUUAACUUACGGCAGGGACAUGAAGAGGGAAGUGAGAGCAACGUAUUUUAACACACCAUGUUUACAAAUGAGAGCGCCCGCUUAUAUGGGAAGUUGAA
Long non-coding RNA from Bactrocera tryoni, 1413 nucleotides. RefSeq lists it as uncharacterized. NCBI's taxonomy places the organism in Eukaryota, Metazoa, Arthropoda, Insecta, Diptera, Tephritidae. The transcript has 3 exons. The record is from RefSeq and is a predicted model, not a curated record.